RNAcentral lists this long non-coding RNA (267 nucleotides) under Rattus norvegicus (Norway rat). RNAcentral describes it as "long non-coding RNA NONRATT003798". The record is from RNAcentral. Lineage: Eukaryota; Metazoa; Chordata; Mammalia; Rodentia; Muridae.
UCUGGAGACCUAGAGAAAGAUGCCUGGGCUAUUCGCUAUUUUGUGUCUGAAGGCUUCGAGCUCUUCUGUGCCCAGUCCUUCUCCAAGAACUUCGGGCUCUACAGUGAGUGCUUUCCAGAGUCGCAGCCCUGCCCCCCUGCCCCUCCACGCCGGGUCAGCGGCUGACCCCGUUUCUGUCUUCUCCUUAGAUGAGAGAGUGGGGAAUCUGACCGUGGUCGGAAAAGAGCAUGACAGCGUCCUGCGGGUCCUUUCCCAGAUGGAGAAGAU